This 50-nucleotide transfer RNA is filed under the name Dicranella heteromalla. RNAcentral describes it as "partial tRNA-Phe". The record is from RNAcentral. Lineage: Eukaryota; Viridiplantae; Streptophyta; Bryopsida; Dicranales; Dicranellaceae.
GCCGGAAUAGCUCAGUUGGUAGAGCAGAGGACUGAAAAUCCNCGNGUCAC